This is a long non-coding RNA of Gorilla gorilla gorilla (western lowland gorilla), 1229 nucleotides long. RefSeq lists it as uncharacterized. NCBI's taxonomy places the organism in Eukaryota, Metazoa, Chordata, Mammalia, Primates, Hominidae. The record is from RefSeq and is a predicted model, not a curated record. The transcript is spliced from 4 exons.
GAAAAAGAAAUGAGAGAGCAAAGCCCUAUUCCACUCAGAGGAAAGAGCAUGUGCAAAGGCUUUAAAAGCAGCAAGUUCGUGGAAUAACAUGGAACAAUGAGAAUUAGAAAGAAAGCUCUGAAAGUUGUUAGGAUGGUAGUAGGGAGGAGGAGUUCGGCGUGUGAACACCUCUGAAAUACCAAUGCCAGUGCUAUCAUAGACAUUAUCUUCUCACCUUGUUAGGAAGAUGGUCCUUGUAAACUUGAUCUUGGGCCGGGUUUGGUGGCUUACGCCUGUAAUCCCAGCACUUUGGGAGGCUGAGGCAGGCAGAAGACGAGUUCAAGAGUUCGAGACCAGCCUGGCCAACAUGGUGAAACCCCAUCACUACUAAGAACACAAAAAUUAGCCGGGCAUGGUGGUGUGUGCCUGUAACCCCAGCUACUCAGGAGGCUGAGGCAGGAGAAUCGCUUGAACCCGGUAGGCAGAGGUUGCAGUGAGCCGAGAUCGUGCCACUGCACUCCAGCCUGGGUGACAGAGCAAGACUUCAUCUAGAGAAAAACAACAACAACAACAACAAAAAACUUCAUCUUGAUAAUUAGCAAGUGUUGAUUAGCCUUGCCAAGACUGCAAAUUCCCCAACAGACAGAGCUCAUGGAGAAGGCUUUAAAGUUAUACACCAUUAAUUCAGAAUUCAUGUAUCAAUGGAAUUUUCCAAUGAUGAAGACCUGCUGGGUUUUCAGUUUGGAACCAUCAUUUAAGGAAACAGACUGUCUCUGUCAUUUAGAAGACUAAAAUCUAAAUGCAAAAAUAAGAUUUAAAGAAAUUACAUAAAACUGCACGUCACUGUCACUAUAAUAACAGAGUGUCACUCUAUCACCCAGGCUGGAGUGCAGUGGCUCACUGCAACUUCUCCCAGGUUCAAGCGAUUCUCGUGCCUCAACUUUCCAAGUAGCUGGGAUUACAGUGACUUUGGGAGCUGUAUGCUGAAAUAGGGACAUUGAAAGAUGAGGAAAUUAUGGAUCUCCAAGUCACUAGAUGGAAGAGAGCACGUCAAAAACUUUAUAAGGAAGAAGUAAGCUCUUCUUGUGCUAAGCCAAGAGUUGGCAAACUAUGACCCGUGAGCCAAAUAUGGCAUACUUUGUAUGGUUUGCAUGCUAAGAAUGGUUUUUAAAUUUUUACACAGUUGGGGAAAGACAAGCCAAAGAAGAAUAAUAUAUUGUGAUAUGUGAAGUUAUGUGAAAUUCACCCUC